RNAcentral lists this long non-coding RNA (1718 nucleotides) under Panax ginseng (ginseng). Its description in RNAcentral is "long non-coding RNA (PGIN_LNC001876)". Lineage: Eukaryota; Viridiplantae; Streptophyta; Magnoliopsida; Apiales; Araliaceae. The record is from RNAcentral.
AACUCGCAUCCCCUUCCUUCCCCAUUUGAAUUAGUUUUCCCAACAACCACUUCAUGCCUUCGUCUAUUGAUUACUUAAUUUAUUUAUUGCAUAUAUAUAUAUAUAUAUAUAUAUAUAUAUAUAUAUAUAUAUAUAUAUAUAUAAAGUGAACUCAUCCAUCUAUAUAUAGAAAGAGAGGGAGAGAAAUACAUAGAUAAAUAUUGCACAUAACAUAAUUAUAUAUAUACUAGACGACAUAUAUUUAUUUGGAGAGAUUUGGAGAGAGAGAGAGAGAGAUCAUGAUAAGGUUGGGGAUGGUGGUGGAGCUGUUGGAAGAAUACAGGGUGGUGAUGGCAAUGUUGAGACGGGGGAUUUUCCUCUCAAGGCGUGUUCCUGUUCCUGUUCUGUCGACGACGUCUUCUCUCAGAAUGAAUGCUUAUUCCUCACCCACGGCCGAUGCUCAUUUUCUUGUUUACUUCUGAUCACCUACGAUUCUCCCCAUCUUGCUUGUUUUGCCCCAAGUUAAUUAAUUGCUUUCAUUUCAUAUACUAUAUUUCACAAAAUUAAUUAUUCAUUUCAUUUAUUCAGGCUUUAAUUUAUAUAUAUAUUCUCUAUAUAUAACUUUCAUUUCAUUUCAUUUAUAUUGACAAUAAUUUUAAAAAUAAGUUAUUGAUUUAUAUACAGAAUACUGAUGGUUGUGGCAAUCACAACUAAUAUGAUUGUCUUAUACUUGUAUUAGUGACAAUUUUGCCAUUCCAUCAUUUCACCAAUCAAAAGUAAUUAAGUCGAUUUGAGUUGAUUAUGAGAAUUAACCACAAUUAUUAUACUUUAAAUAUAUAUAUAUAUAUAUAUGAAUUAAUGAUCCAUCCAUGUAAAUUAGGAGUAUAUAAUAAUUAGUCACAGUUUUGUACACCUUCAAACUUAAGUACCAUUCUUCUCGAUCUCCAUUUUUAUGUUGUAGAACUUAAUUUUGUUACCCAAGAAAGAAAGAAAAAAAGUGUUGCACAUUCCAUUAGAUAGAUGUAGUAUGAUUUAAGAAUUAAGCUUUGAUAUUAGAUUGAUCGACGAUGUAUGAUUAUUUCAAUUGUUAAUAAUAUAUAAUUUGAGUAAUAUAUAUCCGAGAACACAAACCCAAUUAUCACUGCCCAAUUGAAAGCAACAAACCCAUCUUCAGUUGUGUCAUACAAAUCAAAUAGUAGUAGUUCCAAAUUAUAGCAGCUCUCUCGAGUUUAUGUGAAUUUGUGUCAUUUUUUUUUGGCCUUUAUAAAUUUAAUUUAUUACUAUUUUGUCUUUUUCUAAUGUUAUUUUUUAUUUUUUUAUUUAAUUCUCUAAAUUUAUAAAAAAUUUAUUUUAAUUACCUCACAUAAUUUAUACACGUAACAUAUGUCCCCGGUAUUGAUGAUAAUUUAAAGGGUCGGGAGUAUUAUUUUCACAUGUAUUUUUUGAUAUUUUUACAUAAUUUUUCACGCAAAGGUGUGACCCACUUAUAGAGAGAAAUAUAUGAAAAUAUCAAAAAUACAUGUCAAAAUGGUAAGAUAAGGUGAGGACUGAGGAGGAGCCUAAAAGCAUUCACAACAGUUUCUUCAAUAGACUCUCUAUCCCCACAUUUGAAGAAUAUAUCAAUAAAUCAGUAUCCAACAGUCUCCUUAUCUUUAUAUAAUUCUCUAUUUUAAUCCCUAUAUAUGAUUUGACUCCUCAGGAUGAGCGAAUCAAAAGAGCGUUCCCUAUUUAUGUAAAAU